GAUGAACGCUGGCGGCGUGCCUAAUACAUGCAAGUCGAGCGAACAGACGAGGAGCUUGCUCCUUCGACGUUAGCGGCGGACGGGUGAGUAACACGUAGGUAACCUACCUAUAAGACUGGGAUAACUUCGGGAAACCGGAGCUAAUACCGGAUAAUAUUUCGAACCGCAUGGUUCGAUAGUGAAAGAUGGCUUUGCUAUCACUUAUAGAUGGACCUGCGCCGUAUUAGCUAGUUGGUAAGGUAACGGCUUACCAAGGCAACGAUACGUAGCCGACCUGAGAGGGUGAUCGGCCACACUGGAACUGAGACACGGUCCAGACUCCUACGGGAGGCAGCAGUAGGGAAUCUUCCGCAAUGGGCGAAAGCCUGACGGAGCAACGCCGCGUGAGUGAUGAAGGUCUUCGGAUCGUAAAACUCUGUUAUUAGGGAAGAACAAACGUGUAAGUAACUGUGCACGUAUUGACGGUACCUAAUCAGAAAGCCACGGCUAACUACGUG
This 497-nucleotide ribosomal RNA is filed under the name uncultured bacterium. RNAcentral describes it as "partial 16S ribosomal RNA". It matches the Rfam family "Bacterial small subunit ribosomal RNA", at positions 28 to 507 of the family's 1533-position model. The record is from RNAcentral.